This 497-nucleotide ribosomal RNA is filed under the name uncultured bacterium. RNAcentral's name for it is "partial 16S ribosomal RNA". It matches the Rfam family "Bacterial small subunit ribosomal RNA", at positions 28 to 507 of the family's 1533-position model. The record is from RNAcentral.
GACGAACGCUGGCGGCGUGCCUAAUACAUGCAAGUUGAGCGCUGAAGGUUGGUACUUGUACCAACUGGAUGAGCAGCGAACGGGUGAGUAACGCGUGGGGAAUCUGCCUUUGAGCGGGGGACAACAUUUGGAAACGAAUGCUAAUACCGCAUAAAAACUUUAAACACAAGUUUUAAGUUUGAAAGAUGCAAUUGCAUCACUCAAAGAUGGUCCCGCGUUGUAUUAGCUGGUUGGUGAGGUAAAGGCUCACCAAGGCGAUGAUACAUAGCCGACCUGAGAGGGUGAUCGGCCACAUUGGGACUGAGACACGGCCCAAACUCCUACGGGAGGCAGCAGUAGGGAAUCUUCGGCAAUGGACGAAAGUCUGACCGAGCAACGCCGCGUGAGUGAAGAAGGUUUUCGGAUCGUAAAACUCUGUUGGUAGAGAAGAACGUUGGUGAGAGUGGAAAGCUCAUCAAGUGACGGUAACUACCCAGAAAGGGGCGGCUAACUACGUG